UCCCUGGUGGUCUAGUGGUUAGGACUCAGCACUUUCACUGCUAUGGCCCAGGUUCGAUCCCUGGUCUGGGAA
Molecule: transfer RNA, 72 nt
Filed under: Sus scrofa (pig)
Lineage: Eukaryota; Metazoa; Chordata; Mammalia; Artiodactyla; Suidae
Description: tRNA-Glu (TTC) (tRNA-Glu-TTC-10-1)
Rfam family: tRNA
About the family: Transfer RNA (tRNA) molecules are approximately 80 nucleotides in length. Their secondary structure includes four short double-helical elements and three loops (D, anti-codon, and T loops).
Source: Rfam by way of RNAcentral